AGCACGACGUCGAGUUUCCUCAGCCCGUUAACCACAGCGCAUACUCGAUACUGUUUACAUCCAGUGAUAUUUAUAGCGGUGAAAGAGAGUAAUAUAAACUCAUUAUACUCACAAUACCAACAGUAUUUCACCCCUCUCUGAGUUCCUGAUUUCCUCGAGCUCCUGCUGGGCUGAACGUCACGUCACUCUUUAAUCCAGUCCGUGAAGUAAAACAAUACAGAUUUCGUUUUCAUAACAAAUCGCAGCUACGCAAUGGAGUGUUACACAAUGUCCUUCGCGUUGAAUUAACACGUUAUUUCAGGUAAAUAUUAAAACGCGGCUGGAUUAUGAAACGGAAAAGAUCUCGCUCGCACUCGCGCCAUUCGGAUGUGACGUCACGAAGUAAAGGACCGAAUCCUGGAUCGGCUCAAUUUCUUGAACCAUCAUGUAAGUGCAGCUCCUCUCCAGCCAGAUGAUAAAGAAGACAUCCACGGUCCGUAAAAUGGGGCAGCUGUGAUCAUUUCUGACAGCUCUGACGGCUAAUUGGGAAUUGCACAUCUGACAUCCAUGGGACAUGAUGGCAGGCACAGCUUGUUCUUUUGAUGUUCCGAAUCCUGACCCCAGUUGUCCUUCCAAGCGAGGAAAGGGUCCAGCAGUCAAGCUGCGCUGCUGAGACGGUGACCUCUGGUGUUUGUCCUCGGCACCCCGAUGAACUGCUUUCCUUCACUUCUUUUCGUUCAGCUCUUGUCCGAGAAGCCAGAUUUUUGGUGUAGAUAUUAAAACUUCUCUUUCUUCGCAGUAAUUAAAUUGAAGGAUGUUUCCAAAAAUGUUAAUUAGGAGCUUUUUGUUAUUGAAAUGUGAAGGAUGCACUUCUGUUCCGAAGGCCGACUAUUUAUGCAUCAGAACGGCAAAAGAAGUGCUAUUUUCCCGCUCCGAAUGUGACAGCUGAUUCGAGAAAACGACAAUACGCAAAUACGCCUCGCAGCCUAGGACUCAAAUUCUUGGCGCCGCCGAUGGAUUUCGAAGCUCUCACAUUCGAGCUUGCCUCUUUUCGGCUGGACACAUCUGGACAUGUGGGAGAUGAUCCAGUCGCCCUUGGUGAGCUGGACUCGCGCCAUUAUCCAGAGGGGAUUCCUUCCCCUCGCAGUGGGAAGCGCCUCUUACUUUAAUGAUGCGGUUGAAGAGCGGGCCAUGAAAUCUCAGGCAUGUCACAAAUACUUCUGGAUGAAAUUGAAAAGCACUUCAGUCUUGUGCAAUAGGACGCAAACAGGACAUCUAAAAAAAGCUACUGUUUAAUGAGAUGUUCAUGGAAAGUUCAGCUUCGCAUUUGAGAUCUGGGCUCCUUGGUGGACAAAUUUUGUCAUUUAUGAUUUUUGGUGCUUAAAGGCUGCUGUCGGUUGUCUAGAAAGCAUUAGGAUAUUAAAAGGAUAGUUCACCAAAAAUGUAAAUACUUACAUUAAUUUCUCAACCUCUUGACAUUCCAAACCUGUAUGACUUUGUUUCUUCUGCAGAACAUAAAAGAAGAUAUUUUGAAGAAGGUUGGAAACCAAACAACAUUAGGCCCCGUUGACUUUCAUUUUAUGGACACAAAACCACAAAGACAUUUCUCAAAAUAUCUUCUUUUGUGUUCCAAGGAAGAUGGUCAUAUUCAUAUUUUUAAUGACUUGAUGAUGAAUAUAUGAGGACAACAGUUUUACUUUUAAGUCAAUUACCCCUUUCAUAUGGAAAAAAAAAACAUAUACUGAAUUUUUUUACAUAAGCUGAAAAAUUGCUUUGCGUGAUAUUGUCUAAAUGAUAAUAUACUGUAACUUUGAAGAGUAAUUUUAUAAUUCUAUCAACCCCUUACUCCUUUUUAAACUGUAGUCUAUUAUAGUAACUUAGAUGUUGUAUACAUUUCAUCCCCCACAGGCUUAAUGAUACAUCAACCUGUGAAUUUUCUCCCACACGUACGGUCUCAUUCAUGUUUAGGUGUAAAAAAUAUCCAGGCUCCUGCCGUACGUGCUUAUAAAAAUUUCCCUCGAGGUCCGGUUGUCAGCUGCAUGGGCGGUAAUGACGAUAAUCAGGGUCAGAGAUGCCAAAAUGAAAAAAAAAAUAGCUCGAUGGCAUAUUCUGUCAGGAGGAAUUAACACUCUACGAAGUCUUAUCAGUGCUGUGCCCUUUGAGCGCACGACUGAAAGUGACGAAGCAGGAGGGUUUCUCGGGCUUAUGUCUAAGUUAGUUCACGUGCACGGAUACAUAUUUUACAAGUACCUCAUAUUCUCUAUAACUUGCAAAUGCAUUCUUAGAUGUCUACUUCAUUACUUCAAGAGACGUUCCCUCGUGAUACUUAUGCGAUAUUAAACCAAGCAACAUUCUUGUGGAAAAUGUCUGUGAUCAUUUCAG
Molecule: long non-coding RNA, 2361 nt
Organism: Triplophysa dalaica
Lineage: Eukaryota; Metazoa; Chordata; Actinopteri; Cypriniformes; Nemacheilidae
Exons: 3
Source: RefSeq, a predicted model, not a curated record